GUCUGUGAUUAAAGUCAAUGGGAAACUACAAUAACCCAAUCCAGGCAGGAUGACAAAGGGCACAGACCCUUCAGGAAUGAAGAUCAAGAUAUGAACUCUCAGCUGUCCCUGCUGCCAUGAAUUUGCCAUGGACUAUGAUCCUCUGAAACUAUUGGCCAGAUAGUUCUGCUUGUCAAGAUGUUGCUGGGUGCUGAGACCAGCAGCUUUGCUCUCAAGCCCACAGGUGGUGCUGGCUGCCAGCUGGGAGCUCAACAGGGCUGUGAACCAAUGCAUUUGGUCUUCCUCCACAGGAGCCUUUCUUGUUGGAUGUUUUCCUCACUACAGGAGGACCUGAUGGAGAAGGGAUCCUUGUGCAUCGGUCAGUGGAUUGUUUGCAAUAGAUUCAAUGCUAGAUUUACUGUCUUUCUGCCCCUGCUCUCUGCCCAGAAGCACUGACCUCCGUGACUACACCAGCAGUUCCCUUGUCACCUGCCUUCCCCUGUUCUUAGGGGAUGCUUGGCAUGGGAGUAGGAGGAAGUCAAGGAGACCAGAGAGACUUCUUCCCUCACUUCCUUCAUGCUGUGGUGCUGUCAUGCUGCAGUGGCUAUCCAGUAUCCAGCCUUCAUGGCCUAAGCAGAGUAAACUUUCUUCAUCUUGUACCCAUAUGUAAGGGGACAGAAAUCACCCUAGGGCCUGUCUACACCUCUUGUUUCCCUGAACUCUGCUCCCAUCUUUGUACACAAUACCUUUAAUAAACCAC
Molecule: long non-coding RNA, 739 nt
Filed under: Cricetulus griseus (Chinese hamster)
Lineage: Eukaryota; Metazoa; Chordata; Mammalia; Rodentia; Cricetidae
Description: lncRNA (ENSCGRG00015041754.1)
Source: RNAcentral